Molecule: ribosomal RNA, 533 nt
Filed under: Hyperolius platyceps (Benito River reed frog)
Lineage: Eukaryota; Metazoa; Chordata; Amphibia; Anura; Hyperoliidae
Description: partial large subunit ribosomal RNA
Rfam family: Bacterial large subunit ribosomal RNA
Source: RNAcentral
UGCCCUGUGAUUUAAUUUAACGGCCGCGGUAUCUUAACCGUGCAAAGGUAGCAUAAUAAAUUGUCCUUUAAAUUAGGACUAGUAUGAACGGCACAACGAGAGUUUUACUGUCUCCCCCUUUUAAUCAAUGAAAUUAAUCUUCCCGUGAAGAAGCGGGAAUAGAAUUAUAAGACGAGAAGACCCCAUGGAGCUUCAAACUUAAUAUCACUUAUUUUACUUAAUACCAUAUUAUAUAAUAAAAAUGCUUUUAUAGUUUUUGGUUGGGGCGACCCUGGAGAAUAAUAAAUCCUCCAGAUUGAAAAGAACAAUAAUCCUUAUACAAGAACCACAGUUCAAACAAACAAAAAUUUGACAAUACUGACCCAGAAUAAACUGAUCAGUGAACCAAGUUACCCUGGGGAUAACAGCGCAAUCCAUUUUAAGAGCUCCUAUCGACAAAUGGGUUUACGACCUCGAUGUUGGAUCAGGGCACCCAAGCAGCGCAGCAGUUGCUAACGGUUCGUUUGUUCAACGAUUAAUACCCUACGUGAUCU